AAUUUUUUAAGAUUUUCGUAUAAUUUCUGAUGAUGACAGUUUUGCGAAAUGGUUAAAAAAAUUUAUGGAGUUUUAUAAUUGAAAAUUGUUUGCAUAUUGGGAAAGGUACAACUGAAUAAAUUGCAAAAAAAUGGCAACCUCCUAAAAUCAAAUGACCCAUCCAUCCUGAAAUUCAAUAGGGACUAACCUGUCAAACGAAUCCGAAUAGAUUGCAACAGAGAGCACUUCAGAAGAGUAGAAUACAAGGACAAUUCUUCGGAGCUGAACUACAAUGGGUGGUACAGUCGAUUUAUUCGGAACGGACAAUGCCAAUUCCAUAAAUGCCUCAAUCUGAGAGUCUAUACCGUCACCCAACACCCCCAGGGUUCAAAUAUUGACUUUCAUUCUAAUACUCAGGUCCUGGUUCAAGCACCCGCCGUACGCCAUGCGACAGCACCUGGAUCAUAAGUCGAAGAGUAUGUCAAUUGCUUAAUUGGAUAAUUGUCGAGUGUACUUAGCCCGUUAUGAGAAUCAUGGCGAAAAAUGUGAGAGUCGAGAACACACAAAAGGAGACUUGGGGUCCUGGCCAGCAAAAUUAGGAGCACUAGGAGCAGUGUUUGAGCGGAGAAUCCACUGAAGAAUUUUUGGUCUCCUACCAAACAGAUCGCAAUGGUUUGGUUGUGGGUAUAAUCUUAUUCAAUAUGGUGGAUGGGUGAAAAUGAUCCAGUCUGGAAGCCUAUAGAGAUAAUAUUCACGGCAGAAAAAGAACCCUGCCUUGAAUGGACCGAUGGCGUAAGUCAGGACACCAAACAUCUGCAGGGAAUAUUGAAUUGGUAGAACUUGGCGCAAAACCAGCAUGUUUGGAGUUCGUUAUUAAACCAGGCUUAGACUGGACACUAGCGAAGGCACGAACAGCGGACUAUGAAGCAUAGGAGAAAAGGAACCGCCCAAUUUUUCUUUGUUUUGUAAAGCUUCGUAGAUUGUCUUAUUAAGCAGUUUGGAAAUAUCCCGGUCAAGUUGUAUACUACUAGAACUAACGCAACAAA
Molecule: long non-coding RNA, 1025 nt
Organism: Hermetia illucens (black soldier fly)
Lineage: Eukaryota; Metazoa; Arthropoda; Insecta; Diptera; Stratiomyidae
Exons: 4
Source: RefSeq, a predicted model, not a curated record